AUACGGAGGAUCCGAGCGUUAUCCGGAUUUAUUGGGUUUAAAGGGUGCGCAGGCGGGAGAUUAAGUCGGCGGUGAAAUUUUGCAGCUCAACUGUAAAAGUGCCUUCGAAACUGGUUUCCUUGAGUGUAGAUAAAGUAGGUGGAAUUUGUGGUGUAGCGGUGAAAUGCAUAGAUAUCACGAGGAACUCCGAUUGCGCAGGCAGCUUACUAAACUACUACUGACGCUCAGGCACGAAGGUGUGGGGAUCAAACAGGAUUAGAUACCCUGGUAGUCCACGCAGUAAACGAUGAUGGCUAACCGCUGGAUCCAUCGGUUCAGUGGCCAAGCGAAAGCGAUAAGCCAUCCACCUGGGGAGUACGACCGCAAGGUUGAAACUCAAAGGAAUUGACGGGG
Molecule: ribosomal RNA, 393 nt
Filed under: uncultured bacterium
Lineage: Bacteria
Description: partial 16S ribosomal RNA
Rfam family: Bacterial small subunit ribosomal RNA
Source: RNAcentral